Molecule: long non-coding RNA, 403 nt
Organism: Sinocyclocheilus rhinocerous
Lineage: Eukaryota; Metazoa; Chordata; Actinopteri; Cypriniformes; Cyprinidae
Exons: 3
Source: RefSeq, a predicted model, not a curated record
ACAGCAUGACACAAGACUACUUGGAAGUAAAUUGGAAUCUCCCGCUCAGCAUUUCUUUAAAGGAAAAAGAUGAGGAUUCUUUCUUGCUUGCUGUGAUAAAUGACAUUAACAGCUCCACGAUUCACUUUAAGCUCUCGCCUGCGUAUGUGUUUUAUCUGGUUGGGCGAUUUUUAACCAGCCAUAAACCUAUGCAGUCUGGACAGAAAGUCUGCAUGAUAUUUGAUAAGAUUGUGCACUUGAUUCAAGGCGUCAUUCAGAAACAGAGGAACAUCGCAGUGGCUCUUGCCUUCUGGAUGGCCAACACAUCUGAGCUCCUGAACUUCAUCAGACGGGACAGAGAUCUGUGUCCCAUCACGCUCCAGGCUCAAAAUACUCUCACUCAACUUGUGCAGCAGGCUUUCAG